RNAcentral lists this ribosomal RNA (658 nucleotides) under uncultured fungus. RNAcentral's name for it is "eukaryotic LSU rRNA". It matches the Rfam family "Eukaryotic large subunit ribosomal RNA", at positions 24 to 664 of the family's 3401-position model. The record is from RNAcentral. Lineage: Eukaryota; Fungi.
CCCGCUGAACUUAAGCAUAUCAAUAAGCGGAGGAAAAGAAACUAACAAGGAUUCCCCUAGUAACUGCGAGUGAAGCGGGAAAAGCUCAAAUUUAAAAUCUGUCAGUCUUUGGCUGUCCGAGUUGUAAUCUAGAGAAGUGUUAUCCGCGCUGGACCGUGUACAAGUCUCCUGGAACGGAGCGUCAUAGAGGGUGAGAAUCCCGUCUUUGACACGGACUACCAGGGCUUAUGUGAUGCGCUCUCAAAGAGUCGAGUUGUUUGGGAAUGCAGCUCUAAAUGGGUGGUAAAUUCCAUCUAAAGCUAAAUAUUGGCGAGAGACCGAUAGCGAACAAGUACCGUGAGGGAAAGAUGAAAAGAACUUUGGAAAGAGAGUUAAACAGUACGUGAAAUUGUUGAAAGGGAAACGCUUGAAGUCAGUCGCGUUGGCCAGGAAUCAACCUUGCUUUUGCUUGGCGUACUUUCUGGUUAAUGGGUCAGCAUCAAUUUUGACCGGUGGAUAAAGGUCAGGGGAAUGUGGCAUCUUCGGAUGUGUUAUAGCCUCUGGUCGCAUACAUCGGUUGGGAUUGAGGAACUCAGCACGCCGCAAGGCCGGGUUUUUAACCACGUACGUGCUUAGGAUGCUGGCAUAAUGGCUUUAAUCGACCCGUCUUGAAACACGG